AGUCGUUUAGCUCAGUUGGUUAGAGCGUGGUGCUAAUAACGCCAAGGUCGCGAGUUCGACCCUCGUAAUGACCA
Molecule: non-coding RNA, 74 nt
Organism: Knufia fluminis
Lineage: Eukaryota; Fungi; Ascomycota; Eurotiomycetes; Chaetothyriales; Trichomeriaceae
Source: the annotation of a GenBank genome assembly